Molecule: ribosomal RNA, 499 nt
Filed under: uncultured bacterium
Lineage: Bacteria
Description: bacterial SSU rRNA
Rfam family: Bacterial small subunit ribosomal RNA
Source: RNAcentral
ACGAACGCUGGCGGCGUGCCUAAUACAUGCAAGUCGAGCGGAAUGAUGAAGAAGCUUGCUUCUUCUGAUUUUAGCGGCGGACGGGUGAGUAACACGUGGGCAACCUACCUUGUAGAUUGGGAUAACUCCGGGAAACCGGGGCUAAUACCGAAUAAUCCAUUUUGCUUCAUGGCGAGAUGUUGAAAGACGGUUUCGGCUGUCACUACAAGAUGGGCCCGCGGCGCAUUAGCUAGUUGGUAGGGUAAUGGCCUACCAAGGCGACGAUGCGUAGCCGACCUGAGAGGGUGAUCGGCCACACUGGGACUGAGACACGGCCCAGACUCCUACGGGAGGCAGCAGUAGGGAAUCUUCCACAAUGGACGAAAGUCUGAUGGAGCAACGUCGCGUGAGUGAAGAAGGUUUUCGGAUCGUAAAACUCUGUUGUAAGGGAAGAACACGUACGAGAGUAACUGCUCGUACCUUGACGGUACCUUAUUAGAAAGCCACGGCUAACUACGUG